Molecule: non-coding RNA, 1231 nt
Organism: Kogia breviceps (pygmy sperm whale)
Lineage: Eukaryota; Metazoa; Chordata; Mammalia; Artiodactyla; Physeteridae
Source: RefSeq, a predicted model, not a curated record
UACGCCAUGCGCGUGCUGCUGCCACUGCUGCGCACCAGCUGGGCCUGGUGCUUGGGCGCCCCGGCUGCCGCCGCCGCCCGCCUGCCGCGGGGAGCGAGCGCAGGGCCCGGGCCGCGCCGCGCCAUGGCUUUUUACCGCACAGAGGAGCGCGGCCAGCCCCACUCUCCCGGUUACCGCCUCUUUUUCAAGAAUGUAGCUGGUCACUACAUUUCCCCCUUUCAUGAUAUUCCUCUGAAGGCGGACUCUGAAGAGGAAAAUGGCAUUCCUACAAAGAGAGCACGAAAUGAUGAAUAUGAGAAUUUGUUUAAUAUGGUUGUAGAAGUACCUCGGUGGACAAAUGCUAAAAUGGAGAUUGCCACGGAGGAGCCAUUGAAUCCCAUUAAACAAGAUGUAAAGGAUGGCGAGCUUCGCUACGUGGCAAAUAUCUUUCCUCACAAGGGUUAUAUAUGGAAUUAUGGUGCCCUCCCUCAGACUUGGGAAGAUCCCCAUCGAAAAGAUAAGAGCACAGACUGCUGUGGAGAUAAUGAUCCUAUUGAUGUUUGUGAAAUAGGCUCAAAGGUUCUUUCUCGUGGAGAUGUUGUUCAUGUGAAGAUCCUUGGAAUUUUGGCUCUGAUUGAUCAGGGUGAAACAGAUUGGAAAUUAAUUGCUAUCAAUGUGAACGAUCCUGAAGCCUCAAAGUUUCAUGAUAUUGAAGAUGUUAAGAAGUACAAACCUGGUUACUUAGAAGCUACGCUUAAUUGGUUUAGAUUUUAUAAGAUACCAGAGGGAAAACCAGAAAACCAGUUUGCUUUUAAUGGAGAAUUCAAGAACAAGGCUUUUGCUCUUGAAGUUAUUAAAUCUACUCAUGAAUGUUGGAAAGCAUUGCUUAUGGAGAAGUGUGCUGGAGGGUCUAUAAAUUGGACUCCCUGUUCUCUCAUCACCAUUUUCCCAGAAUUCCCAAGGAAUGUUUCACUUUGGUGUAGUUUUAAUGUUAAAAACAUUGCGUGUAGCAGGGGCCCCCAACCCCCAGGCCACGGACCAGUACCUGUCCGUGGUCAGUUAGGAACUGGGCCGCACAGCAGGAAGUGAGCAGCGGGGGAGUGAGCGAAGCUUCAUCUGUAUUUACAGCCUCUCCCCAUCGCUCGCGUUACCGCCUGAGCUCCGCCUCCUGUCAGCAUUAUGCACAAAUGUGCAGGUAUGUGAUAGCCCUUUCCAUUGCUCUCAGGAGGAAGCAAGAUCAUUAGUUGAAUCG